Callithrix jacchus (white-tufted-ear marmoset) is the source of this 149-nucleotide unclassified non-coding RNA. It matches the Rfam family "Metazoan signal recognition particle RNA". From Rfam's summary of the family: The signal recognition particle (SRP) is a universally conserved ribonucleoprotein. It is involved in the co-translational targeting of proteins to membranes. NCBI's taxonomy places the organism in Eukaryota, Metazoa, Chordata, Mammalia, Primates, Cebidae. The record is from Ensembl.
GCUGGGCAUGGUGGCGCAUGCCUGUAAUCCCAGCUACUCAGGAGGCUGAGGCAGGAGAGUUGCCUGAACCCAGGAGGCGGAGGUUGCAAUGAGCCGAGAUCGCGCCAUUGCACUCCAGCCUGGGUAACAAGAGCAAAACUCUGUCUCAA